UACGGAGGGUGCGAGCGUUGUCCGGAAUCACUGGGCGUAAAGGGCGCGUAGGCGGUCCGGUAAGCGUGUGGUGAAAGCCCGGGGCUCAACCCCGGGUCGGCCGUGCGAACUGCGGGACUGGAGCACUGUAGAGGCAGGCGGAAUUCCGGGUGUAGCGGUGGAAUGCGUAGAGAUCCGGAAGAACACCGGUGGCGAAGGCGGCCUGCUGGGCAGUAGCUGACGCUGAGGCGCGACAGCGUGGGGAGCAAACAGG
RNAcentral lists this ribosomal RNA (253 nucleotides) under uncultured bacterium. Its description in RNAcentral is "partial 16S ribosomal RNA". It matches the Rfam family "Bacterial small subunit ribosomal RNA", at positions 524 to 776 of the family's 1533-position model. The record is from RNAcentral. RNAcentral also lists the same sequence under 1 other name.